CCCUACGGGGUGCAGCAGGCGCGAACACUUUACAAUGCGGGAAACCGCGAUAAGGGAACCCCGAGUGCCAGCAUCAAAUGUUGGCUGUCCAGAUGGUUAAAAAUCAUUUGUUAGCAAGGGCCGGGCAAGACCGGUGCCAGCCGCCGCGGUAACACCGGCGGCCCGAGUGGUAGCCGUUUUUAUUGGGUCUAAAGGGUCCGUAGCCGGCCUGAUAAGUCCUUUGGGAAAUCUGACAGCUUAACUGUCAGGCUUCUAAGGGAUACUGUCAGGCUUGGGACCGGAAGAGGUAAGGGGUACUCCAGGGGUAGGAGUGAAAUCUUGUAAUCCCUGGGGGACCAUCUGUGGCGAAGGCGCCUUACCAGAACGGGUCCGACGGUGAGGGACGAAAGCUAGGGGAGCAAACCGGAUUAGAUACCCGGGUAGUCCUAGCUGUAAACGAUGCUCGCUAGGUGUCAGACACGGUGCGACCGUGUUUGGUGCCGCAGGGAAGCCGUUAAGCGAGCCACCUGGGAAGUACGGUCGCAAGGCUGAAACUUAAAGGAAUUGGCGGGGGAGCAC
RNAcentral lists this ribosomal RNA (558 nucleotides) under uncultured archaeon. RNAcentral describes it as "bacterial SSU rRNA". It matches the Rfam family "Archaeal small subunit ribosomal RNA", at positions 321 to 879 of the family's 1478-position model. The record is from RNAcentral.